UUCAAAUUUCAAAACACAGAAACAGAAUGCCAUCGGUCGCCAAAUGAAAGUACUACAUAUUUCCAUUCCGGAGUGCAAUAGCCACUUUUGACGCUAGAGGACUCCGGACUCCGGAGUGCAAUAGCCACUUUUGACACUAGAGCGCUCCGGACUCCGGAGUGCAAUAGAUUUUACCUUAAUUUUUCCCCGUGUAAAUUCCCAUAAGGAAUCGGGGUCCCUUUACUUUUAAUUCAUUUUCUACUUAUUGGUGUCUUAAAUCCAAUAUAUUUCUCGUGGAUCUUGUUCCCCGAAUAACUGGUUGUUUUGAUUCUGGAAUGUCAAAACAGACAUGUUGUAUGUUUGUGUGUCUGAACUCUGAAUAGGUCAGCCAAGUUAUGUAUUUAACUAAAGAUGUUGACUGGGCAUCUGGCACCAACACGUAAUCAUGAGAAUAAUUCCAUUGGGAUGGCUACUGUUAAAAGAAUUAGUCGCUCUGUAAGAAGGCAGAUUGCUAGUAUAUGUUGAAAGAUGUAAGAGGAUGACACCCACACGUUCCAAAAGAUGCAGUAACUGAUGUCAUGAAAGAUAACGCUGGAGAUACCCAAUGCAGAACACCUUUGAUUAACACAUCAACAAACGAGCAGCAUCCAUCUACCUGCAACACAGCUCUUGCAUUAGAAAACCAGGCAUUGGUUCUUCGAAUAAAAGUAUUGAAAAAUGAAAAGACAAUAACUAGUUGAAACAGUGUCACAUCUUCAGUAUCUGUAUUAAAAACUUCUUUUCACCUCGUUUAAUACAAUGUUUCUCUAGAAAAAAGAA
This is a long non-coding RNA of Daphnia pulicaria, 798 nucleotides long. RefSeq lists it as uncharacterized. The record is from RefSeq and is a predicted model, not a curated record. Lineage: Eukaryota; Metazoa; Arthropoda; Branchiopoda; Diplostraca; Daphniidae. The transcript has 3 exons.